UACGGAGGGUGCAAGCGUUAUCCGGAUUCACUGGGUUUAAAGGGUGCGUAGGUGGGCCUGUAAGUCAGCGGUGAAAUCUCCGGGCUUAACCCGGAAACUGCCAUUGAUACUAUAGGUCUUGAAUUAUCUGGAGGUAAGCGGAAUAUGUCAUGUAGCGGUGAAAUGCUUAGAUAUGACAUAGAACACCAAUUGCGAAGGCAGCUUACUACGGAUACAUUGACACUGAGGCACGAAAGCGUGGGGAUCAAACAGG
RNAcentral lists this ribosomal RNA (253 nucleotides) under uncultured bacterium. Its description in RNAcentral is "partial 16S ribosomal RNA". It matches the Rfam family "Bacterial small subunit ribosomal RNA", at positions 524 to 776 of the family's 1533-position model. The record is from RNAcentral.